RNAcentral lists this ribosomal RNA (468 nucleotides) under uncultured bacterium. RNAcentral's name for it is "partial 16S ribosomal RNA". It matches the Rfam family "Bacterial small subunit ribosomal RNA", at positions 28 to 507 of the family's 1533-position model. The record is from RNAcentral.
GACGAACGCUGGCGGCGUGCUUAACACAUGCAAGUCGAACGGAAAGGCCCUGCUUUUGUGGGGUGCUCGAGUGGCGAACGGGUGAGUAACACGUGAGUAACCUGCCCUUGACUUUGGGAUAACUUCAGGAAACUGGGGCUAAUACCGGAUAGGAGCUCCUGCUUCAUGGUGGGGGUUGGAAAGUUUCGGCGGUUGGGGAUGGACUCGCGGCUUAUCAGCUUGUUGGUGGGGUAGUGGCUUACCAAGGCUUUGACGGGUAGCCGGCCUGAGAGGGUGACCGGCCACAUUGGGACUGAGAUACGGCCCAGACUCCGACGGGAGGCAGCAGUGGGGAAUAUUGCACAAUGGGCGGAAGCCUGAUGCAGCAACGCAGCGUGCGGGAUGACGGCCUUCGGGUUGUAAACCGCUUUCGCCUGUGACGAAGCGUGAGUGACGGUAAUGGGUAAAGAAGCACCGGCUAACUACGUG